Non-coding RNA from Camarhynchus parvulus, 376 nucleotides. NCBI's taxonomy places the organism in Eukaryota, Metazoa, Chordata, Aves, Passeriformes, Thraupidae. The record is from the annotation of a RefSeq genome assembly.
ACCCUGCUGGAGCCCGGGGGCACCUCCAGCCCCCCGGGGGUCCCUGCGCCUCCUCUGCCGCGGCUCCGGGUUCAGUUUUGGCAGUUUUGGGAUGGGCUGGAUGCGCCAGAGACCCGGGCAGGGGCUGGAAUGGGUCGCAGGGAUUGACUACGAUGGAGAAACCGAGUACGCGCCCUCGGUGCAGGGCCGGUUCACGAUCUCCAGGGACAACGGGCAGAACUCGGUGACGCUGACCAUGAACAGCCUCAGGGACGAGGAUUCCGGAUCCUAUUUCUGCGCCAAAGCUGCUGGUGCUGGUGCUGCUAAUGGUGCUGGUUUUAUUGACGGUGCCCGUGCUCUCCCCAUCCCCAUCCCCGGGUUUGGGGAGCUCGGUUGA